Pelobates cultripes (western spadefoot toad) is the source of this 202-nucleotide non-coding RNA. The record is from the annotation of a GenBank genome assembly. Lineage: Eukaryota; Metazoa; Chordata; Amphibia; Anura; Pelobatidae.
GCUGCAGAUUUCUUGCCUGCAGCCUUUGCAAGUGCUCUCUUUCUUCCUUAUAUAAAAUUCUGCAGGGUGUAUUUGAUUUAUGUCUGUGCAAUUUCUCAUUCUACUUUUAUGUGAAGACAACCAAAAAACAAACACGAGUCCUGCACAUCCAGUAUAGGUGUGCACACCCAGGUGCUACCACAAUUUAUUUGAGGACAAAGUU